Molecule: ribosomal RNA, 465 nt
Filed under: Vreelandella stevensii
Lineage: Bacteria; Pseudomonadati; Pseudomonadota; Gammaproteobacteria; Oceanospirillales; Halomonadaceae
Description: partial 16S ribosomal RNA
Rfam family: Bacterial small subunit ribosomal RNA
Source: RNAcentral
CCUACGGGUCGCAGCAGUGGGGAAUAUUGGACAAUGGGCGAAAGCCUGAUCCAGCCAUGCCGCGUGUGUGAAGAAGGCCUUCGGGUUGUAAAGCACUUUCAGUGGGGAAGAAAGCCUUGGGGCUAAUACCCUCGAGGAAGGACAUCACCCACAGAAGAAGCACCGGCUAACUCCGUGCCAGCAGCCGCGGUAAUACGGAGGGUGCGAGCGUUAAUCGGAAUUACUGGGCGUAAAGCGCGCGUAGGCGGUCUGAUAAGCCGGUUGUGAAAGCCCCGGGCUCAACCUGGGAACGGCAUCCGGAACUGUCAGGCUAGAGUGCAGGAGAGGAAGGUAGAAUUCCCGGUGUAGCGGUGAAAUGCGUAGAGAUCGGGAGGAAUACCAGUGGCGAAGGCGGCCUUCUGGACUGACACUGACGCUGAUGUGCGAAAGCGUGGGUAGCAAACAGGAUUAGAUACCCGAGUAGUC